AGAACGAACGCUGGCGGCAUGCCUAAUACAUGCAAGUCGAACGAACACUUCGGUGUUAGUGGCGCACGGGUGCGUAACGCGUGGGAAUCUGCCCUUGGGUUCGGAAUAACAGUUGGAAACGACUGCUAAUACCGGAUGAUAUCGAAAGAUCAAAGAUUUAUCGCCCAGGGAUGAGCCCGCGUAGGAUUAGCUAGUUGGUGAGGUAAAGGCUCACCAAGGCGACGAUCCUUAGCUGGUCUGAGAGGAUGAUCAGCCACACUGGGACUGAGACACGGCCCAGACUCCUACGGGAGGCAGCAGUAGGGAAUAUUGGACAAGUGGGCGCAAGCCUGAUCCAGCAAUGCCGCGUGAGUGAUGAAGG
RNAcentral lists this ribosomal RNA (361 nucleotides) under uncultured soil bacterium. Its description in RNAcentral is "bacterial SSU rRNA". It matches the Rfam family "Bacterial small subunit ribosomal RNA", at positions 26 to 414 of the family's 1533-position model. The record is from RNAcentral.